UGAAGACGACGACGAAGAAGAAGAUGGCGAAGAAAAGUGAUCGAAGAGCUCCCUUCGAUCCAAUCCAGGAGGGGAAGUGGUCGGUUGCAGCUGCCGGUUCAUGGAUGCCUCUCUGGUGCAGCAAUGACUAAUGCUCACCUGCACUUGCAUGGGUGUGCAUGACCCGGGAGAUGAACCCACCAUCAUCUUUCCCUCGUGCUUGGAUUGAAGGGAGCUCCUCUCUCUUUCCUCUCUCUCU
Molecule: microRNA precursor, 238 nt
Filed under: Saccharum officinarum (sugarcane)
Lineage: Eukaryota; Viridiplantae; Streptophyta; Magnoliopsida; Poales; Poaceae
Description: miR159c stem-loop (sof-MIR159c)
Gene: sof-MIR159c
Rfam family: MIR159 microRNA precursor family (bases 34-231)
Source: miRBase by way of RNAcentral